UCCCUGGUGGUCCAGUGGUUAGGACUCCAUGCUUCCACUGCUGGGAGUCCAGGUUUGAUCCCUGGUCGGGGAA
Molecule: non-coding RNA, 73 nt
Organism: Bos taurus (domestic cattle)
Lineage: Eukaryota; Metazoa; Chordata; Mammalia; Artiodactyla; Bovidae
Source: Rfam